CGCGAAUGGCUCAUUAUAACAGCUAAAAUCUACUUGAUCUUGACACAAUCCUACUUGGAUAACUGUGGUAAUUCUAGAGCUAAUACAUGCAUUAAAGCUCUGACCUUAGGGGAAGAGUGCAUUUAUUAGAACAAAACCAAGCGGCUUCGGCUGUUUUCGGUUGACUCAUAGUAACUGAGCUGAUCGCAUGGUCUUGUACCGGCGACGUGUCUUUCGAGUAUCUGCCGUAUCAACUUUCGAUGGUAGUGUAUCUGACUACCAUGGUGAUCACGCGUAACGGAGAAUAAGGGUUCGACUCCGGAGAGUUCGCCUGAGAAAUCGCGAACACAUCUAAGGAAGGCAGCAGGGCGAAAAUUACCCACUCUCAGCACGAGGAGGUAGUGACGAAAAUAACGAGACCGUCUCUUAUGAGGCCGGCAUCGGAAUGGGACAAUUAAACCCUUUACGGGGACUAUGAAAGGCAAGCUGGUGCAGCAGCCCGGAAUUCCAG
Molecule: ribosomal RNA, 490 nt
Filed under: Eucephalobus striatus
Lineage: Eukaryota; Metazoa; Nematoda; Chromadorea; Rhabditida; Cephalobidae
Description: SSU rRNA
Rfam family: Eukaryotic small subunit ribosomal RNA
Source: RNAcentral